UCCCUGGUAGCUCAGACUGUAAAGAAUCUGCCUGCAGUGCAGAAGACCUGGGUUUAAUCCCUGGCUUGGGAA
Molecule: transfer RNA, 72 nt
Filed under: Bos taurus (domestic cattle)
Lineage: Eukaryota; Metazoa; Chordata; Mammalia; Artiodactyla; Bovidae
Also listed under: 5 other names
Rfam family: tRNA
About the family: Transfer RNA (tRNA) molecules are approximately 80 nucleotides in length. Their secondary structure includes four short double-helical elements and three loops (D, anti-codon, and T loops). Further hydrogen bonds mediate the characteristic L-shaped molecular structure. tRNAs have two regions of fundamental functional importance: the anti-codon, which is responsible for specific mRNA codon recognition, and the 3' end, to which the tRNAs corresponding amino acid is attached (by aminoacyl-tRNA synthetases). tRNAs cope with the degeneracy of the genetic code in two manners: having more than one tRNA (with a specific anti-codon) for a particular amino acid; and 'wobble' base-pairing, i.e. permitting non-standard base-pairing at the 3rd anti-codon position.
Source: Rfam by way of RNAcentral